UUUUAAUGUAUACUGAACAAACUUUUAUUCCUGGAUGGACAUAGUGAUGUAAUGCCUAUUAUAAAGCUAUGAGAAAAGCAAAUGUGAGACCUGGAGCUGAAAAACUACAAGCUCAUCAGCACAAAAGUGGGAAUCUUCAGUGGCCAAGCAGGUGAAUAGCUAUCUUCAUAUGUGCAAGGCAGUUUUAUGGCAUCACAAUGAAACUGGAAUUUUGUGCAUAAAUAUAAUCAUAUAUUUAGUUACUAAUUUAUAUGAAGAAACCAGUUGCUCUGAGUUAAAGAAGAUAAGGAAAUGAACAUAUGCUAUGAUACACAUUUCAAAAAUAAAACAGAUGUUUUUAAUACAGGAGGACAAUAGAAAUUUACUGAUGGUGUUGAGUAGCUGAGUUAGAUAGAUUCUUUAAAGAGAGAAAACAUAAUAACAUUUUCAAUAUACCAGAGGCCUUAAAAAAUCAAUGUUUUUCUUUAUAGUUCAAUUCACAGGAGAUGUAAAGACAUCAGUACUUUUCUUAGGGCAUUGUGAUUACCCUUACACAAUAAUCCAAAGAUGAAUUCAUGAAAAAUAAGCAUGACUGAUCUUGCAAUCACACGGUACAACCUUGUAUUUUCUUUUUCUUUAUUUCCUUUCUUUUCUUUUCUUUUUUUUUGAGAUGGAGUCUCACUCUGUCGCCCAGGCUGGAAUGCAAUCACUGCAACCUCUGCCUCCCAGGUCCAAGCGAUUCACCUGCCUCAGCGCCCUCCACCACACCUGGCUAAUUUUUGUGUUUUUAGUAGAGAUGGGGUUUCACCAUGUGGGCCAGGCUAGUCUAAAACUCCUGACCUAAGGUGAUCCACUUGUCUUGGCUUCCCCAAGUGCUGGGAUUACAGGUGUGAGCCAUCGCGCCUGGCCUAACCUUGUAUUUUCUUGUUUUUUUUUUUUCUGUCUUUAAAGGUUUCUUUUCCAUUCCUUAAAGUUCACAGGAUAUAAUAUGACUAGUUCCCUUUAUAUUUCUGACAGUUUAUUGUUAGAGAUUUAUGAAUGUGCUUAUAUGAUUAUAAGAAUACUAAUUAAAGUCCCAUACCAGAAUAAAGAGGAAUCUAAACAACUAACUUCUGCCAUUAAAGACUAAAGAUGAUAGAGGUCACCUUAAGCAAGAUUUUGGAAAAGGCGAAGGUAAACUUUCUUCAUUUGUGCUACUCUUCCAUUUUCAAUACCACUUUUAGACUUGGGGAAGGAGAUACCUUGCCCUAGACCCCAUGCUUGAGAGCAGUGAUCCUCAACAUGUCUAUGAUCAAAUACGAAAUUUGCAUUUCUAAUUCUUUGAGGUUAAAUAUUUUCAUAAAAUGUAAUGAUAUUAUGGCCAUUCCAAAGUGCAGUAAAAUUCUUUCAAUGCUUAUUCUCAAUAUCUACACUUUCCUUUUGACAGACGGUUCCCCAGGGCAUGUUCACUGACAUCAAGGUGCAGAACUUACUUUAAGUAGCACUACGUAUGAGGGCUGUACAUCUCACAAACAAAACAGAAAGACAAUAACUUUAGUAAAAAGAUGGAUACCAUUCAAGCCCAAGGAAAACCAAUGCUUCUUUUCAUCUAUGGACUCAAGUCUCAGAAAGCAGAGAAGUGAGUGUACCAAGUGCAACAAACGUUUGAGCAUUGUUCUGCUGCCAAUAUUGAAGACAGCCACUGCUUUGAAGUGUGGGGAGGAGAGCUAGAGCAUAUUUGCCUGCCACAGUUAGUUUUGUGUUUCCAUGGAAUUUGAGCAAAACUGAUGCACUUGUCUCCCAGGAUUAAUCCAUACAAGUCACCUCUAAAAUUAUCUUUUCCCAUUCGUUGACUGAGCAAAAUGGACUUCAAGGACCUAAAGGAGGUUAAAUACCACAAGAUGGAGGAGCUUGAGUCUCUGAAUCAUUGUGUGUGAAGUCAUCUGCCAAUUACAUAAAUUGAAUUCUUGGGAAUUCUUGGUAUGAUAGGACAUGAAAGCUGAGAGAAAACCCUUCUACCUAGGAACUCCGGAGUUUCAACUACCAGAGACUGAAGGCAGGAGAGAAAAACUAAGACAAAUGACUUCAAAGCCUUUCUGAAAUGCCACAGAGGGUCAGGAUUACAAUCUGCCUAUUCUGAUUCUUCUACUAUGGGAAAAAAUCUUUUUCAGAAUUGAUGUAAAGCCUCUGUUAAUACUUUUCCUGUUAACAACCUAACUAUUCAACUGCUGAAUAAAAACCAUUAGGACAACUAAAGAAACUGAGAGAUUUUGGCAAGAAAUAGUCAUUCCAAUAUCAAUGACUACGGAGGAAAUGCAAUUACUUUUCUUUGCUUAAGUUUUCCAGGGCCUUUCUCUGUUGCCCAGGCUGGAGUGCAGUGAGGCAAUCUUGGCUCACCACAAUCUCUCCCUCCUGGAUUCAAGCAAUUCUCCUGCCUCAGCCUCCCGAGUAGCUGGGAUUACAGGCAUGCACCACUACACCCGGAUAAUUUUUGUAUUUUUAGUAGAGAUGGGGUUUUACCAUGUUGGCCAGGCUGGUCUUGAACUCCUGACCUCGUGAUCAGCCUGCCUCGGCCUCCUAAAGUGCUGGGAUUACAUGCAUGAGCCACUGUGCCCUGCCAACUUGUUAAAUUUUUAAUCAUUCUGCUCACCUUUUGCAACCUUACUGACUUUUGUGUCUACCUUAUCUAGCAGUGGCUGAAAUUUCCUUCUAUGAUUAUAGAUUUGUCUGUUAUUUCUUAUAGAUUUCUCAAUAUUGCUUGUAUUAUUAUUUUAAGUUAAUACCAUUAGGCAUAAAAAUUCAAAAUUGUUAUCGCU
This 2774-nucleotide long non-coding RNA is filed under the name Homo sapiens (human). RNAcentral describes it as "HSALNT0128557". The record is from RNAcentral. Lineage: Eukaryota; Metazoa; Chordata; Mammalia; Primates; Hominidae.